AGAAAGAUAGGCUAUAUUUAAGCCUAAAGGUUCAUAACCUUUUGAAAAGUGAAAACUUUCUUUCUA
RNAcentral lists this transfer RNA (66 nucleotides) under Colpocephalum griffoneae. RNAcentral's name for it is "tRNA-Met". Lineage: Eukaryota; Metazoa; Arthropoda; Insecta; Psocodea; Menoponidae. The record is from RNAcentral.